GUGCUCACUUCAGCAGCACAUAUACUAAAAUUGGGACGAUCUAGAGAAGAUUAGCAUGGCCCCUGCACAAGGAUGACAAGCAAUUUUUUUUUU
RNAcentral lists this small nuclear RNA (93 nucleotides) under Jaculus jaculus (lesser Egyptian jerboa). The record is from RNAcentral. Lineage: Eukaryota; Metazoa; Chordata; Mammalia; Rodentia; Dipodidae.